Molecule: small nuclear RNA, 23 nt
Filed under: Arabidopsis thaliana (thale cress)
Lineage: Eukaryota; Viridiplantae; Streptophyta; Magnoliopsida; Brassicales; Brassicaceae
Description: snRNA_05403
Source: RNAcentral
GAGCCUCUUUUGGAAUCAAAGCG